Transfer RNA from Halanaerobium hydrogeniformans, 85 nucleotides. It matches the Rfam family "tRNA". From Rfam's summary of the family: Transfer RNA (tRNA) molecules are approximately 80 nucleotides in length. Their secondary structure includes four short double-helical elements and three loops (D, anti-codon, and T loops). The record is from Rfam. Lineage: Bacteria; Bacillati; Bacillota; Clostridia; Halanaerobiales; Halanaerobiaceae.
GCCGAAGUGGUGGAAUUGGCAGACGCGCUGGAUUCAAAAUCCAGUGGCCCUUUCGGCUGUGCGGGUUCGACCCCCGCCUUCGGCA